RNAcentral lists this ribosomal RNA (477 nucleotides) under uncultured bacterium. RNAcentral's name for it is "partial 16S ribosomal RNA". It matches the Rfam family "Bacterial small subunit ribosomal RNA", at positions 28 to 507 of the family's 1533-position model. The record is from RNAcentral.
GAUUAACGCUGGCGGCGUGCAUAACACAUGCAGGUCGAACGAUGAAACUUAGUAGACUUCUUCGGAAAGACACUAAGCGGAUUAAUGCCCAACUGAUUAUUAACCCCUGGGUAACCUGCCUUCCACAAGGGAAUAGCCUUUGGAACCGAAGAAUAAUACCCUAUAAAACCAUAAAAGCACAUGCUACAAUGGUCAAAGUGAUAGCGGUGUAAGAUGGACUUGCGUCUGAUUAGCUAGUUGGCGAGAUAAAAGCUCACCAAGGAAACGAUCAGUAGCCGGCUUGAGAGAGUGUACGGCCACAUUGGGACUGAGACACGGCCCAGACUCCGACGGGAGGCAGCAGUGGGGAAUUUUGCACAAUGGGGGAAACCCUGAUGCAGCGACGCCGCGUGAUUGAGAAGGCCUUCGGGUUGUAAAAAUCUUUUGUAUAGGAAGAAAAUGACAGUACUAUACGAAUAAGGUCCGGCUAAUUACGUG